RNAcentral lists this small RNA (1604 nucleotides) under Pan troglodytes (chimpanzee). RNAcentral's name for it is "retained intron". The record is from RNAcentral. Lineage: Eukaryota; Metazoa; Chordata; Mammalia; Primates; Hominidae.
CUAGCCAUUUGCAGGUACUUUGAUAAUGACACAGUGCUGUCCCAUAUCCUUAAUGGCUUUGGCAUUCCAUUAUGGGACCUUCCUGAGAGAGUUAAUACUCUGGUUAGAUUUUAUAACUUUACACACACACAGGAAUUUGUGUUUUGAGCUAACUUUAUGGAAGGUAGGUUCUUCAUGCAAUUUUGUAGGGCCCAACUUUUUGGAAGGGUCAGCAGCAUUCUGAAUCCAAAGAUGUGCAUUAUGCUGGCUUUCUGGUCAUCAUGGGGAGCAUCGAUGACAAGGUUUUCUCUAGUGAUAAAUACGGAUUGAUUCCUGACCUAAUCAGAUACAUUGUAUAAGUGUAGGUACAAAGUGAAAUCACUUCAGCAAACACAGAAGAUGAUGAUGACGACGAUGAUGAGGAUGAUGAUGAUGAUGAAGAAAACACGGAGGAUCGGAACCCCGGGCUCUCCAAGGAGAGAGUGAGAGCUUCACUGUCUGACUUGUCAAGCCUUGAUGAUGUGGAAGGAAUGAGCGUGCGCCAGCUGAAGGAAAUUCUGGCUCGGAAUUUUGUCAACUAUUCUGGCUGUUGUGAAAAAUGGGAACUGGUAGAGAAAGUAAACCGGUUAUACAAAGAGAAUGAAGAAAACCAAAAGUCCUAUGGCGAGCGGCUGCAGCUGCAGGAUGAGGAAGACGACAGCCUGUGUCGCAUCUGCAUGGAUGCCGUCAUCGACUGUGUCCUACUGGAGUGUGGGCACAUGGUUACCUGCACCAAGUGCGGCAAGCGCAUGAGUGAGUGUCCCAUCUGCCGGCAGUAUGUGGUGCGAGCUGUGCACGUGUUCAAGUCCUGAAACAGGCUCCCCUCACCAGGACAGUCACCCCCAAACUUGACCCCAAACAUUUCAAUGCACAGAAGGGACUGGAAAGUUACUGUUCAAAGGCUGAAGCUAUUUUAAAACAUUAUUUUGACUACUAAGUGGGGACAGAAAGAUCCAUCCUGAGUUGUGGAAACAUUGGUCCAUGCCGUGAGCCUGUCUGCCUGUGGACACGUGAGCUUCCCGGGCUCAGCUGGGCUUUAUCACACAUCCCGUGAACACUCAUUGAAGUCAGCCUGUUUGCGCCAUGUGGGCAUCAGCCACUGCUGUCUUGGGAGGACACUUAUCCUGUUCUCUUAUUUCCCCUUCAUCCUAUUUUUAACUUAAACUGCUCAGAUGUUUGAAACUUCUGUCCUCUUUGGAUGAGAUCAGUGUCCACAAGUGGCCGACAUGGAACAUGCUGAGCAGUGGCUCCUCUGAAUGUUCACUUUAUUAGUCAUGUAUAUUUUAAAUGCUAACAUUUGAUGAAUGUAAGUUUCCACAUUGUUGCUGUUUCUGCAUUUAAACAUAAUUGGGAACAACUGACAUUCUCUAGUCGACUGCCAGGGCCUUAGACUCCACAUGUCCAUUUUUGUUCAGGUAUAGCUUUUUAUAGCAAGGGCUGCAUCUAGCUUCUUUUAUUAGAAGUGUGUGUGCUAAAUUCCUUAUUAAUGUGUAAUCAGUUUACACUGUUUUGUAUAGUGAAGGUGUAUUUUCAGUGCUACCCGCUAGCUGAUUUUAACUUUAGGAAUAAAAUUAGUUUUAAAAGCU